AGUGGACGCUGGCGGUAGGCCUAACACAUGCAAGUCGAACGGCAGCACAGUAAGAGCUUGCUCUUACGGGUGGCGAGUGGCGGACGGGUGAGGAAUACAUCGGAAUCUACUUUUUCGUGGGGGAUAACGUAGGGAAACUUACGCUAAUACCGCAUACGACCUACGGGUGAAAGCAGGGGAUCUUCGGACCUUGCGCGAUUGAAUGAGCCGAUGUCGGAUUAGCUAGUUGGCGGGGUAAAGGCCCACCAAGGCGACGAUCCGUAGCUGGUCUGAGAGGAUGAUCAGCCACACUGGAACUGAGACACGGUCCAGACUCCUACGGGAGGCAGCAGUGGGGAAUAUUGGACAAUGGGCGCAAGCCUGAUCCAGCCAUACCGCGUGAGUGAAGAAGGCCUUCGGGUUGUAAAGCCCUUUUGUUGGGAAAGAAAAGCAGCAGGUUAAUACCCCGCUGUUCUGACGGUACCCAAUGAAUAAGCACCGGCUAACUUCGUG
Molecule: ribosomal RNA, 492 nt
Filed under: uncultured bacterium
Lineage: Bacteria
Description: partial 16S ribosomal RNA
Rfam family: Bacterial small subunit ribosomal RNA
Source: RNAcentral